Molecule: transfer RNA, 71 nt
Filed under: Pedionomus torquatus (plains-wanderer)
Lineage: Eukaryota; Metazoa; Chordata; Aves; Charadriiformes; Pedionomidae
Description: tRNA-Phe
Rfam family: tRNA
About the family: Transfer RNA (tRNA) molecules are approximately 80 nucleotides in length. Their secondary structure includes four short double-helical elements and three loops (D, anti-codon, and T loops).
Source: RNAcentral
GUCCCCGUAGCUUAAUGACCAAAGCAUGGCACUGAAGAUGCUAAGAUGGUUGCCUAAUGCACCCAGGGACA